AUAAGUCCAAAUGGAUCAAUUGUAAUGGUCUAGUGGUGCUAAUUUGAUUUUUUGGUUUGAAAUUAGUUUUUAUUUGUUUACCUAGUUGACAUGCAUCGCAUACUUUGUCCUUAACAAACUUCAUAUUUGGAAUCCCUCGUACUAAUUCUUUAGAUGAGAUCUUAGAUAUUAGUUUCAUACUUGCAUGGCCUAAUCUCCUAUGCCAAAGCCAAGCAUCAUCAUUUAAGGCGGAGAAGCACAUUUCAUUACUUCGUUCAUCAAGGUUGAUGGUGUAGACAUUAUUUU
RNAcentral lists this long non-coding RNA (285 nucleotides) under Musa acuminata (dwarf banana). RNAcentral's name for it is "long non-coding RNA (MACU_LNC003338)". The record is from RNAcentral. Lineage: Eukaryota; Viridiplantae; Streptophyta; Magnoliopsida; Zingiberales; Musaceae.